AUCGCUUCUCGGCCUUUUGGCUAAGAUCAAGUGUAGUAUCAAGUACAGGUUUAACAUUUGUCAGUUUGUGAAUAAUGGAAUAAAAACAAAUGAAGAUGUGAUGAUCAAAGAAAUAAUAGACAGAAGCUCUCCUGAUCUGAAAUUACAUUUGGAUUAAAAGAGCUCACUUGUU
RNAcentral lists this small nuclear RNA (172 nucleotides) under Callithrix jacchus (white-tufted-ear marmoset). RNAcentral describes it as "U2 spliceosomal RNA (ENSCJAG00000066775.2)". The stretch from base 1 to 91 matches the Rfam family "U2 spliceosomal RNA". From Rfam's summary of the family: U2 is a small nuclear RNA (snRNA) component of the spliceosome (involved in pre-mRNA splicing). Lineage: Eukaryota; Metazoa; Chordata; Mammalia; Primates; Cebidae. The record is from RNAcentral.